UGCCAGACUCCUACGGGAGGCAGCAGUGGGGAAUAUUGGGCAAUGGGCGCAAGCCUGACCCAGCAACGCCGCGUGGAGGAUGAAGGUUUUCGGAUUGUAAACUCCUUUUGUUAGAGAAGAUAAUGACGGUAUCUAACGAAUAAGCACCGGCUAACUACGUGCCAGCAGCCGCGGUAAUACGUAGGGGGCAAGCGUUAUCCGGAUUCACUGGGUGUAAAGGGAGCGUAGACGGCGACGCAAGUCUGGAGUGAAAGCCCGGGGCCCAACCCCGGGACUGCUCUGGAAACUGCGGCGCUGGAGUACGGGAGGGGCAGGCGGAAUUCCUGGUGUAGCGGUGAAAUGCGUAGAUAUCAGGAGGAACACCGGCGGCGAAGGCGGCCUGCUGGACCGUGACUGACGUUGAGGCUCGAGAGCGUGGGGAGCAAACAGGAUUAGAUACCCGCGUACUG
This 449-nucleotide ribosomal RNA is filed under the name uncultured bacterium. RNAcentral's name for it is "bacterial SSU rRNA". It matches the Rfam family "Bacterial small subunit ribosomal RNA", at positions 329 to 793 of the family's 1533-position model. The record is from RNAcentral.